CACGUAGGGUGCGAGCGUUAAUCGGAAUUACUGGGCGUAAAGCGUGCGUAGACGGUUAUUUAAGUCGGAUGUGAAAGCCCCGGGCUCAACCUGGGAAUUGCAUUCGAGACUGAAUAGCUAGGGUGCGGUAGAGGGAAGCGGAAUUUCCGGUGUAGCGGUGAAAUGCGUAGAUACCGGAAGGAACAUCAGUGGCGAAAGCGGCUUCCUGGACCAGCACCGACGUUCAGGCACGAAAGCGUGGGGAGCAAACAGG
RNAcentral lists this ribosomal RNA (253 nucleotides) under uncultured bacterium. Its description in RNAcentral is "partial 16S ribosomal RNA". It matches the Rfam family "Bacterial small subunit ribosomal RNA", at positions 524 to 776 of the family's 1533-position model. The record is from RNAcentral.